Long non-coding RNA from Chroicocephalus ridibundus (black-headed gull), 591 nucleotides. RefSeq lists it as uncharacterized. The transcript has 3 exons. The record is from RefSeq and is a predicted model, not a curated record. Lineage: Eukaryota; Metazoa; Chordata; Aves; Charadriiformes; Laridae.
GCAUGGGGACACUGCUCUCCCUAUUUGGUUGUUUGGGGAAGGGAAACCAGCAGGGGGAGAGGGUCCUGAGAAGGAGAUAAAAUGGCUUAAGCAAUAAACCAUAGGAGAGGGUUUACAACCAAGAAUCUCAAGUGGAAGCCAGUAUCUCCUUCUGUCCUGGAGUUACAUAUCUUACACCUACUCCUUUGGUGGAACCUGAAGGGUGGAUUUGGACAAAAUGAAAGAGAAAGCUCGCAGUCUCCGUGAAAACCAUCUGAGGUUUCUGGCAGGCAGACAGAUCGAGACUGUGGAUUAGAUUCUACAUUAAUUAAAUCACAGGAGUCUAUUCAAGAGUGACACUGCCAUACAGCAUCCCAGGUAAACAGUGAACACCGUUGAAAAUGAGCACAAACAGCCUCUGGAUUUCUGAGUGUUUCCUUAAACCUAAAAUUCUCACUAGUAAAGGCAGAUAUACCUCUCAUUUUGUCCUGGUGCAGAAUGAGCUCCUGGAUAAUUUAUACUUCAUGGACUCACACAGCAUCCACCCCUUCCUUACCUGCAAGGCAUAGAGUGCUGCUGUGUUUCCACAACAAUUCACUUCAUAUCACAUUA